GAGGAAGCCACGGCUAACUCCGUGCCAGCAGCCGCGGUAAUACGGAGGUGGCAAGCGUUGUUCGGAAUCACUGGGCGUAAAGGGUACGUAGGUGGUUCGAUAAGUCUUCGGUGAAAUCUCCCAGCUCAACUGGGAAACUGCCGGAGAUACUGUCGGACUUGAGUUUGGAGGGGGAGAGUGGAAUUCCCGGUGUAGAGGUGAAAUUCGUAGAUAUCGGGAAGAACACCAGUGGCGAAAGCGACUCUCUAGCCCAAAACUGACACUGAGGUACGAAAGCUAGGGGAGCAAACAGGAUUAGAUACCCUGGUAGUCCUAGCCGUAAACGAUGAGCACUUGGUAUUUUUGCGUCAAGCAGGAGUGCCGAAGCUAACGCGUUAAGUGCUCCGCCUGGGGAGUACAGUCGCAAGGCUGAAACUCAAAGGAAUUGACGGGGGCCCGCACAAGCGGUGGAGCAUGUGGUUUAAUUCGACACUACGCGAGGAACCUUACCAGGGCUUGACAUGCUGGAAGUAGGAACCCGAAAGGGGGACGACCUGUAUUCAAUCAGGAGCCAGCACAGGUGCUGCAUGGCUGUCGUCAGCUCGUGUCGUGAGAUGUUGGGUUAAGUCCCACAACGAGCGCAACCCCUAUCCUGUAUUACCAUCAGGUUAAGCUGGGGACUUACAGGAGACUGCCCCGGAUAACGGGGACGAAGGUGGGGACGACGUCAAGUCAGGAUGGCCUUUAUGCUCUGGGCUACACACGUGCUACAAUGGCCUGUACAAUGGGUAGCAAUACCGCGAGGUGGAGCUAAUCCCCGAAAGCAGGCCUCAAUUCGGAUUGGAGGCUGCAACUCGCCUCCAUGAAGUCGGAAUCGCUAGUAAUGGCGCAUCAGCAACGGCGCCGUGAAUACGUUCCCGGGCCUUGUACACACCGCCCGUCAAGUCAACCGAGUCGAAUGCACUAGAAAUCCCCGAAUACUCGGGGCCCAAGGUGUGUUUGGUAAGGGGGACU
Molecule: ribosomal RNA, 993 nt
Filed under: uncultured bacterium
Lineage: Bacteria
Description: bacterial SSU rRNA
Rfam family: Bacterial small subunit ribosomal RNA
Source: RNAcentral